AGGUUCCUUUCAGUGUCCUAGAAGUUGAUUUUGGCUCCGUGCUGAAGGAACCCAUCAGACACGUGGUACCGCUGGCCUAAGACAGGGAGUGUGGAAUAUCCCGUCCUACCGGGUGGCUGCGAUGGGAAAACCUGAAAGAUGAGACAUGCGCCU
This 153-nucleotide long non-coding RNA is filed under the name Salvator merianae (Argentine black and white tegu). Its description in RNAcentral is "lncRNA (ENSSMRG00000009207.1)". Lineage: Eukaryota; Metazoa; Chordata; Lepidosauria; Squamata; Teiidae. The record is from RNAcentral.